RNAcentral lists this ribosomal RNA (450 nucleotides) under uncultured bacterium. RNAcentral describes it as "bacterial SSU rRNA". It matches the Rfam family "Bacterial small subunit ribosomal RNA", at positions 45 to 492 of the family's 1533-position model. The record is from RNAcentral.
GGCCUAACACAUGCAAGUCGAACGAGAUUAAGGGGCUUGCUCCUUAUGAAAGUGGCGCACGGGUGCGUAACGCGUAUGCAACCUACCUUAAUCAGGGGGAUAGCCCGAAGAAAUUCGGAUUAACACCGCAUAAAAACACAGAGCAGCAUUGCUCAAUGUUCAAAUAUUUAUAGGAUUAAGAUGGGCAUGCGUGUCAUUAGCUAGUUGGCGGGGUAACGGCCCACCAAGGCGACGAUGACUAGGGGAUCUGAGAGGAUGACCCCCCACACUGGUACUGAGACACGGACCAGACUCCUACGGGAGGCAGCAGUAAGGAAUAUUGGUCAAUGGAGGGAACUCUGAACCAGCCAUGCCGCGUGCAGGAAGACGGCCCUCUGGGUUGUAAACUGCUUUUAUUCGGGAAUAAACCACAUUACGUGUAGUGUGCUGAAUGUACCGAAGGAAUAAGGA